GGGGAUGUAGCUCAAUGAUAGAGUACAUGCUUAGCACAUGUGAGGGCCUGGGUUCAAUCCCCAGCACCA
Molecule: transfer RNA, 69 nt
Filed under: Heterocephalus glaber (naked mole-rat)
Lineage: Eukaryota; Metazoa; Chordata; Mammalia; Rodentia; Bathyergidae
Rfam family: tRNA
About the family: Transfer RNA (tRNA) molecules are approximately 80 nucleotides in length. Their secondary structure includes four short double-helical elements and three loops (D, anti-codon, and T loops).
Source: Rfam by way of RNAcentral